AUGCUUUUCUACUUCUGGUAUUUUUUCAAAUAUUUAAAAUUAUAAGAGUCAUUCUCAGUUUGGGGUGAUACUAAAACAAGUAGCAAGAUAGAUUUGCCCAUGAACUGUGGUUUACCAUCCCCUGUUAGAAAGAUUGAUUACAGUAUUUUAAAAGAAAGCAAUAUUAUAAAUAUCAUGAAUGAAAGGGAAUAUGCUAAUACAGACUUUAUAGUCUUUAAAACAAUAGUAAAUAGUAUUUAAAACUUUAUACUAAUAUGUUUGACAACUUAUUUGAACUAGAAAAAUUUAUUGAAAAUACAAAUUACAAAACUGACAAUAUAAUCAAUAGAAAUUCUGAACACCUCUAAUUAACAAAAUGUAUUUUAUUCAAAAUUUAAUCUUUCCUGCUAAUAAAUCUCAGACUCAGAGACUUUCACUGGUGAAUUCUCAAAAAAAAAUUGUAGAAAGAAAGGAUGCCAAUCUUAUAUAAAUUAUUUCAGAAAAGACUAAAAUUAUUUCAGAAAACAGAUAAGGAGUGAAUACAUCCAGACUUAUUUUAUUUUAUGAUACCUCUAAUACUCUGAUACCCAAACCAGACAAAGAUAUUUCAAGGAAAAAAUAUAUAUUAGUAUCUUUCAUGAACAUACAUAAAACACCUUUAACAAAACAUUUACAUAUUAACUUCAGGAAUAUAAAGAUGAUGAUGCAUCAAAAGAAAAGCACUUGACCAAAUCAAUAUCCAGUGAAGUUACAAAUUUUUGGCUAACUGUAAAUUAGAAGAAAUUUCCCUAUUCUGAUUAAAGAAUUAAUGGAAAUUUUAUAGGUAAUAUACUUAAUGGAGAAAAACAGUUUUUUUCUUUAAGAAUGGGGCCAAGACAAAAAUGUCAAGAUAUCUGUUGGCAGUCUUAGUAAUUUCAGUAAGCCAAAAAUAAGUAAAAGACAUAUAAUUGAAAAAGCCAGUUUUGACAGGUUGAUUUUAAAAUUUAAAUGAGAAUGCAAAUGAAAUAGAAAACCAAUUGAAAAUGAACAAAGUUGAAGGAGUCAUAAUACUGGAUUUCAAUAUUUUUACUAAUGCUACCAUAAUCAAGAUAUGUGUGUUAUUUGUGAAAAGAUUAAUAUAGAUUCAUUUAAAAAUAUAGAAUCUAGAAAUAAAUAAACAUGUAUAUGGUAAAUUGAUUUUUGAGAAAUGAAUACAAUGAGGAAAGGGCAUUCUUAAAAAAAUAGUGCUGGAACAUCCAGAUAGUAAUAUUUAAAAAAUGAACUCAGUCCUUACCUCAUAUUAUUUAGAAAAAUUAACUGAAAAGGAACAUACAUAAUGAUAAAUUAAACUUUUAUAAAAGUAAAAAGUUUGUUUUUAAAGUAUACCAUUAUAAAGUAAAAAGACAAACCAUGAAAGGAGAGAAACUAUUUAUGACGCAUUUAUCUGUCAAAGAACAUGUUUCAAGAAUAUGUAAAGCAUUCUUAAAAUUCUUAAAAUAUUUAAAGGUUUAAACAUAGCAAUCUAAUAAAAAGUAGACAAAAUAUUUAAAUGAUAAUUUCACAAAAAAGAUAUAUAAAUGGCUAGAAAGAAAAUGAAAAAUAUUCAGCAUCAUUAGUCGUUGGGACAAUGCAAAUUAAAACCACAAUGAAAUAUCAUUAUAUACACAUUAACAUAGCUGUAAUUAAAAAUCUUAAGAGUAACAUUGGUGAGAAUAUGGAGAAACUGGAACCCUCCUCAUAUACUUCUGGUAAAAAUGGGAAGUGACACAAGCACUUUUAGAUAACUAUUUGUUAGUUUCCUUGUAAAGUUAAAUAUGUAAUCACCACAGUAUCUUGUAUUUUCACAGUAAAAGCAUCUGAACACUCAAAGAUUUAUACCUCAAUGUUCAUAGCAGCUUUAUUUUAAAUUGGUACAAAGUGGAAAACACUCAGAUUUCUAUCACUGUGUAAAUGGAUUAUCAAAAUGAUAGUAUACUCAAGAAAUGGCACACCACUUGGCAAUAAAAAUGCACCAGGCAUACACACAACAUGUAUGAGAAUCAAAAAUGGUAUCCUCAUUGAAAGAUGCCAGACAGAAAAAAGUUCACACAACUAUAGUUCCAUUUACAUGAACUUCUAUAAAAUGCAGACAAAUCUACAGUGACAGAAAGUAGAUCAUUCCAUUUGAGGGUUAUAGGGUGGAAGAAGAAACUGAUUAUAUAAGGGCAUGAGAAAAUUCUUUUGGGGAGAGAAAACCUUCUGUAUCUUGAUUGCAGGCUUUAAAAUGUAUGUAACUAUCAAAAUUCAUUGAAUUGCACAAUUUAAAUGAGUUUAGUUUAUUGUACAAUAUUAUACAGCAAUAAGGUUAAUUGGAUAUAAUGUUUGAGAAAAGAUCUGAAUGUCUUAUAUAGGGCAAUAUAAAUAUACUGAUAUAUUCAUAUACAUGUUUGAUCAUUAUUUGGCCAUUAGAAUUGUUUCUAGAAAAGUUUAUUCGUUUAUAAUUUUAAACAAAAAAUAGAAUUAUUCAACAAAAUACAUAAAGAAAAUGUUAUUUACCUCCUCUCAGAGAAAAGAUAAAGAAGGAUAAAAUAAUAAUAAAUGUAAAUAUCCUGAAGAAGGCCCAUAAGGAAAAUGGUUAAAUAUUGAUUCAUUGUUUCAAUGGAAUACUCAUAACCGGGCAACUUCAAAUGAGGAAACUGACGCCCCAACGUUAAGUAACUCACACAAAGUAAUGUAUUUGGCAAAUGAUGGCCUUCGAAUUGCUAUUGCUUUUGUCUGAAUAUUGCGUUCUUUACCUAAACAAAAGAUGUAGUUGCUUACCAUAUGCAAAGUCUACCUGGAAAGAGGAAUAACAUCAUACUAUAAUUGAAAGAAAAUUUCUUUAUUUUGUAAAUGAGAAAAGAGCUACAGAAAGGGGUGCAAUCAGACCCUGACUGUAAUUUUAGUUUAAACCUUUUUUUCAUUUAUUUUGAAACUGACUUAAUGAAAAAAAAAUAGAAAGCUCUGUGCAUGUGUAUGGGAGAAAGAGCAAGAGAGAGAUAGCUAUGAAAGAUGAGUGUUCUUAUGUCCAGGGAGAUGGUCUGACUUCCUUAAAAGCUCAUCAGAAGAAAAGUUGGGAGUGAGAGAUGAGGCAUUUAGGUCCCCAGAGAUGGAAUAUCGCUCUGUAGCCCAGGCAAGAGUGCAAUGGUGUGAUCUUGGUUCACUGCAAUCUACGCCUCCCAGGUUCAAGUGAUUCUCCUGCCUCAGCCUCCCAAGUAGCUGGGAUCACAGGUGGAUUACACACCUGGCUAUCAGAUGUGCCCUGAUUCCCCUUCACCUUCAAUUGUAUGUUUCCUGAGGAUUACACAGCCAUGCAGAACUACAGAGUCCCGCUCUGUCACCAGGCUGGAGUGCAGUGGUGUGAUCUCAGCUCAGUGCAACCUUGGCCUCCUGGGUGCAAGUGAUUCUCCUGCCUUAGCCACCCAAACAGCUGGGACUACAGGCAGAGGAGCUCAUCCCUGUGGAUAUCUCCACCACCAGUCCACAGGAUUCUGACAGGUUUUGAGACAAGCAGCAUAGGCUUCUGUUCUGCCGUCUUGCUCCACCCUGCCAAGAUAUUAUUUCAGAAGAGUCAAAGACUAAAAGGCGGGCCACGCGCGGUGGCUCAAGCCUAUAAUCCCAGCACUUUGGGAGGCCGAGGCGGGUGGAUCACGAGGUCAAGAGAUCGAGACCAUCCUGGUCAACAUGGUGAGACACCAUCUCUACUAAAAAUACAAAAAAUUAGCUGGGCACUUUACGAAAGAAGACAUAUAUGAGGCCAACAAUCAUAUGAAAAAAUGCUCAUCAUCACUGGUCAUCAGAGAGAUGCAAAUCAAAACCAUAUUGAGAUACCAUCUCACGCCAGUUAGAAUGGCGAUCAUUAAAAAAUCUGGAGACAACAGAUGCUGAAGAGGAUGUGGAGAAAAAGGAACACUUUUACACUGUUGGUGGGAGUGUAAAUUAGUUCAACCAUUGUGGAAGACAGUGUGGCGAUUCCUCAAGGUCUUAGAAAUAGAAAUUCCAUUUGACCCAGCAAUCCCAUUACUGGGUAUAUAUCCAAAGGACUAUAAAUCGUUCUACUGUAAGGACACAUGCACACGAAUGUUCAUUGCAGCACUGUUUACAAUAGCAAAGACCUGGAAUCAACCCAAAUGCCCAUUGAUGAUAGACUGGAUUGGGAAAAUGUGGCACAUAUACACCAUGGAAUAUUAUGCAGCAAUCAGAAAUGAUGAGUUCGUGUCAUUUGUAGGGACAUGGAUGAAUCUGGAGAACAUCAUCCUCAGCAAACUGACACAAGAACAGAAAAUGAAACACCACAUAUUCUCACUCAUAGGCGGGUGAUGAAAAAUGAGAACACAUGGACACAGGGAGGGGAGUACUAAACACUGGGGUCUA
This is a non-coding RNA of Callithrix jacchus (white-tufted-ear marmoset), 4350 nucleotides long. Lineage: Eukaryota; Metazoa; Chordata; Mammalia; Primates; Cebidae. The record is from RefSeq and is a predicted model, not a curated record.